This is a non-coding RNA of Equus caballus (horse), 691 nucleotides long. The record is from RefSeq and is a predicted model, not a curated record. NCBI's taxonomy places the organism in Eukaryota, Metazoa, Chordata, Mammalia, Perissodactyla, Equidae.
AGGCCUGCGCUUGGCUGACAAAGCCCUGGGCUCUCUGUGCGGGCUUCCCUCGUGCCCCCCACCCAGCACUGCCAGCCUGGCUGGGCACAGUCCACCCCUGUUGUUGCUGUACCGAGAGGAAGCUGUUUUGCCCAGACAAGACACUUAAGCUAAGUGGCUAUUGUUACAUCAAUGGGCCUUGCCACCCAGCACCCCGGCCUUGAGCCCCGUACACUCACUCCCACACAUUCACGCUCAUGUUUGCCAAGUCACAGGCCAAUGCCGGGGGAGGCAGAGCGGGAAGGGCCAGGUGGAAGGCUGCUCAGCACCAAUGACAACAUGAAACAGAGUUCUCAGCUUCAUCUUGUUGGCUGUCUCAGAUGUGUUCCUAUCGGAGCAGAUGAUAAGUGAGAGGUCACUGAAGGUGAACACCUGCAGGUCCCCAGAUUAAUCACGUUGUGUUUGCCAAGUGUCACCGAAAGCACGUCUUAGAGACAACGCAUCUUCAUCAGGUCCAGCCCUGGCCUGCGACUUCCCAGAAGUGGAGCCUUGACCCACAACUUCACUUUACUUCUCUCAAGCGGGAUCCAACAGAGAAAAAUUCCGCUCUGCCAGCCCCUUGGAGAUCAAAUGAAAUCAUGAGAUGGAUCUUGGGAAAUUCUGAAGUACUUUAAGGACAUUGGACAUAAUUACUAUAAGCUUAAAACUCCUU